GACGAACGCUGGCGGCGUGCUUAACACAUGCAAGUCGAACGGUGAAGCGCCUUCCUUUUUGGUGGGUGUGGAUGAGUGGCGAACGGGUGAGUAACACGUGAGUAACCUGCCCCCUUCUUCUGGAUAACCGCAUGAAAGUGUGGCUAAUACGGGAUAUUCUGGGUCUGUCGCAUGAUGGGUCUGGGAAAGAUAUUGUUUCGGUUGGGGAUGGGCUCGCGGCCUAUCAGCUUGUUGGUGGGGUGAUGGCCUACCAAGGCGGUGACGGGUAGCCGGCCUGAGAGGGUGGACGGUCACACUGGGACUGAGACACGGCCCAGACUCCUACGGGAGGCAGCAGUGGGGAAUAGUGCACAAUGGGCGCAAGCCUGAUGCAGCGACGUCGCGUGAGGGAUGGAGGCCGUCGGGUUGUGAACCUCUUUCGCCAGUGAAGCAGGCCUGCCUCGUUUGUGGGUGGGUUGAGGGUAGCUGGAUAAGAAGCGCCGGCUAACUACGUG
Molecule: ribosomal RNA, 494 nt
Filed under: uncultured bacterium
Lineage: Bacteria
Description: partial 16S ribosomal RNA
Rfam family: Bacterial small subunit ribosomal RNA
Source: RNAcentral